GUUAGGAAUAUUGGACAAUGGGCGCAAGCCUGAUCCAGCCAUGCCGCGUGAGUGAUGAAGGCCUUCGGGUUGUAAAGCUCUUUAGUCCACGAAUAUAAUGACUGUAGUGGAAGAAUAAGCCCCGGCUAACUUCGUGCCAGCAGCCGCGGUAAUACGAAGGGGGCGAGCGUUAUUCGGAAUCACUGGGCGUAAAGCGUGCGUAGGCUGUUUUGUAAGUCAGAAGUGAAAGCCCAGGGCUUAACCCUGGAAUUGCUCUCAAAACUGCAAGGCUCGAAUUCGGGAGAGGAUAGCGGAAUUGUCAGUGUAGCAGUGAAAUGCGUAGAUAUUGACAGGAACACCAGUGGCGUAAGCGGCUAUCUGGACCGAUAUUGACGCUGAGGCACGAAAGCGUGGGGAUCAAACAGGAUUAGAAACCCGGGUAGUCC
RNAcentral lists this ribosomal RNA (425 nucleotides) under uncultured bacterium. Its description in RNAcentral is "partial 16S ribosomal RNA". It matches the Rfam family "Bacterial small subunit ribosomal RNA", at positions 354 to 796 of the family's 1533-position model. The record is from RNAcentral.